This is a long non-coding RNA of Equus caballus (horse), 10011 nucleotides long. NCBI's taxonomy places the organism in Eukaryota, Metazoa, Chordata, Mammalia, Perissodactyla, Equidae. The record is from Ensembl.
AGGUAUGAGGUUCUUCCUGAGCAUUUCUUGAAGAGGAGGUUUUGUGGCGAUGAACUCCCUUAACUUUUGUUUAUCUUGGUUCUUCCUGCCUUGUGAUUGCCAGUCGGGAUCUCUCCACUAGUGCUGUGCCCAGGCUUUCGCUGAGGCUGCUGUAGGAACCUGGAGUUCCCACCUGGGCAUUGUAGCUGUUUCACCAGAGCUCGACUCUGCCCCACACCACUCUCACAGGAUCUCUGGGAGCCCCUUGCCUCGUCUGGGACAUGGGCAGAGUCCGUGGGCCUGGCAGUGGCUGGCCACCCCCGGGGCGUCUUGAGAUGACAAGCGAUGGAAGCAUCCCUUAGAAGACAGCCUCGCCGGGGAGCUGCGGGAGACAGGCGGCACAAGCUGCACCCAGGAGCCGAGGGCCCUGGGACAGCAGAGCAGGCCAGGUGAGCGUGUCCCCUUGAGACCCAUGGCCCUCCCUGGCCUCACCUCCACUUCACCAAAUUCUCCUGCUGUCCCUCACCCCAGGCCUUUUGCCACCCCUGUCCCCAUGGCUCCCCUCCCAGCUCAGCCUCAAACUUCCUACAGCCCUGAGGCACAUCAGCGACUGGGAGGAAGAACUCCAGGAGAGAAGGGCAAGAUUUCCUACCUUUGCGAAAGCGACAUCUGGCCCCGCACUUCUGCCAGGUCCUUCCAGCCAGCUCUGUAAGCUAGAAAUCAGGAGACUAGGUCACAGCGCUGAAGGUGGGGGCCUAGGGCUCUUAGAGGAAGCUGCGUGCAAUGUGCCUUAGGGGAGACUGUUUGAGGUCAGACUCUGGAGCCCAGGCACUAGCGCCCAAGGCCACAGGAUCCCUGAUGCGGAUGGCAUGGCUCCUGAUGGGUUGUUUGUCAUUGACCAAGUGCUUCAACCUCCACCACAGCCUACAUGCCCCUGCUGGGCAACACCCAUUUCCAGAUGCCUGCUGGCCUGGGCCUUAGUUCCCAGCACAGAAUCUGGCAAGUACUCAGUUUUUCAUCUCCUUCCCGGGUGCCUCCCUGAGGGCUCUGUUUCCUGAGGGACAGGCUCUGUCCCUGGCAUCCUCCAGCCCAUGGAGCUGGGCGCUCAGGGACAGGAGAUGGAGGCCAGCUCUGGAGCUCAGGGCUGAAUGGCAGAAGCUUACCUUUCAAAGCUCCCCUUUUCUUCCUGCUCCUGCUGCUCCUCCCUCUUGGCUCCACUUGAUGCUGAGAGGAGAGAUAAAAUAAGAAACUUUGGAGUCUGAGACCAAGGCUCCCUCUCCUCUCUCUGGACCCGCUGCAGACACCCAGCAUUUGUGAGCAAGAUGACUGUCUACAUUGAACUCCUCAGGCUCUUGGGUGUUUCUUCCCUUUUACUUACUUUUGAAGUGGAGAAUUGAACACCAAAUGGAUAUUUGCUGUUUUCCUUCUUUGAGGAUCAUAAGAAGGUCCCCAUGUGGGACCCAGCAGGUAUUUUCUGUCACUGUUUCUCUGCUCAAGAAAUGCGCACAUUCUCAGAUGUAUAGAAUCUUAUGAGCUUCCUCAGGGAGGACUUUGCUUCCUGAGGCCAGAGCCCCACUCCAGGUCCUGCUCAGAGCCUGUAGGGGGCUCAGCUCAGCCCUCAGAUCAGCCACGACAGAGGAAAGGCCUGGUCAAGACACCUGCCCCAGGAAGGCAGCUGGGGAACCAGUGUUCAGGGCCUGUCCUCCCACAGAUCCUACUCAGCAUCCCGUCCUUGGCCACUGGUCACUGGCCUGGGGACUUUCCCUGGAGCCCUCUGCCACACCAGGACUCCCGCUCUGAGAUCUUCCAAUGGAAAUCCUUGUGCUCACUCUCACCCCUGCCCACCUAACCUCGCUUGUCCCUAGAAGGAUGAUAUUCUAUUGUUUCCCAUCCCCAGAGUCCCUCUAGUUGAUUCAGAGAAGUGGAAAUCACAGUAAAAAUGAAGGGAGACGCAUCUUCUGGUGGGUCUCGGUCCAGGAUUUCUUACCUUCCUGACGUUUCUCCUUUUGUAAGGUGGUUGUAAGGGCAAAUUCCUCUGGAGGGAGGGAAGGAACAGGAGGAAGAGCCCCAGUCCAUACAGGAUGCGGAGGAUGGUCCCAAUCACCCAGGAAGCAGAACUGGAGCUCAGCCAGGUAACAACAAUGCUUUUUAUAUAUAAGAUAGGAGUUUCCAUAUCUCAAUACAGUUCUACUCUCAGGCAACUGAGCACUGGGAGUGACUUGGAGAUUAGAACCCCACGCCCUCAUCAUGGAACUGUGGCCGUGUCACAAGGGCUCCUGAGGAGGCGAGGGGACAGCAGGGAAGCAGAUUGGACCACAGCCCCUCCCCCACCAACUGGCCUACAACUGCCUCCCUCCACCCUCCUGGGCCUUCUAGACCUUGGGUAGUUUUCUAUUCCUUCCACCUGGAGGCCAGAUGUCACCCGGUUCCUUGUGUCUCCUGGAUUCUUGGUUUCAACCCACCUAUGUCAUGGCCUUUGAAGGUCUGAAGUUCUCCUGGAAAUUUAGGCUGGUUCCCAGGGAUUCACGUCCUGAUUCGCCUCUGUCCUAACCUCCGAUAUUUUUUCACCUCACAUAUUGACUUUGUGUGUGUGAGAACAUUGAAGUGCUUCUCUCUUAGCUGAUUUCAAUUGUACAAUCCCGUGUUCUCGACUCUAGACACUACGUCAGACGUUAGAUCCUCAGAAGCUCUUGACAUUAGAGUUGAAAGUUUGUCCCCUUUUACCUGCUUCUCCCUUUUUCCCCCCACCCCAUAGCCCCUGGCAACCACCUUUCUACUUUCUGUUUAUGUAAGUUGACCUUUUUUUUUUUAGAUUUCACAUAUAAGUGAUAUCAUGCAGUGUUGUCUUCUCUCUCUGGUUUAUUUCAUUGAGAAUAAUGCCCUUCAGCUUCAUCCAUGUUGUGCAAAUGUCUGCUUCAUUUUUCCACAUAAUAACUUUUCUUUUUCUAAGGGAUAUUGGCCCUGUGCUAACUUCCACUGCCAAUCUUCCUCCUUUUGCUUUAGGAAGAUUGUCACUGAACUAAUAUCUGUGCCAAUCUUUCUCUAUUUUAUGUAGGAUGCUGCCACAGUGUGGCUUGAUAAGCAGUGCUAGGUCCACACCUGGGAUCUGAACCUGUGAACCCUCGGCCACUAAAGUGGAGCAUGCAAACUUAAAUAGUCUGCCAAUAGGCCGUCCCCCAUAAUAAGUUUUCUACUUUCAUCUAUCCAGAAGUAGAACUUUAUUUUAUACUUAUUUAAUUUUGAAUAUUUAAGUUUUUAUUGUUUCCAUCAAUCUUUGUCAUUUUCACUCAGAACGAGUGACACAAAAAUUCAAACUAACCAUUUACUAUUAUUUAAAAUAAUUACAAUGAAAAUAUAAUUAAAUCUCCAAAUAAUGUGUUUUAUAUUAGUAGCAUUUACAUUUGUGAAGUUAGAACAGCUUCACAAAGGCAUAAUUAUGGGACAUACUCUAUGCACACACACACGUACUUCCACAUACAUAGACACAUUUUCACAGACCAGUACUUUCAAACUCAAGAAUUUAGUAUUUUCUCAUUUUCUUGAAAUUCUUCAUACAUUGUCUUGACCCCAAGUAAAUGAAUUUUAAUGUCAAAAAUAAGCUCAUGCAAAAAUUAAAAUUUGGUUUUCUCUCUCGUAAAUGGAUAAUUUUCCUGGAGUGUUAGUCUGCUCUUGAUAAAGAGGUUAUACAAGGUUUUUCUUUAACUUUGGUAAGUUUACCAUUAGGACAGAAUAUCUAUGUCUGUUAAAAUAGUUUUCUAUGUUCAAAAGGACUGAGGUUUCUCUAUUAAGGGAACAAACAUCAUACUCAGUGAGGAAACACUAAAAGCCAUCAAUCUGAGAACAAGAACAAGACAAGGGUGUCCACUCUCACCACUUUUAUUCAACACAACACUGGAAGUUUUGGUCAAAGCAAUUAGGCAAGAAAAAGAAGUAAAUGGCAUCCAAGUGGCAUCUAAGGAGUGAAAUUCUCACUACUUGCAGAUGACAUGAUUUUAUGUAUAGAAAAUCUGAAAGAAUCUAUUGGAAAAAUAUUAGAAAUAAUCAACAACUACACAAAGUUGGAAGGUACAACAUCGAGUUACAAAAAUCAAUUGUGUUUCUAUACUUCAUAACAAAUCUAAAGAAAGAGAACUCAAGAAUACAAUCCCACUUACAAUCUCAACAAAAAGAUUAAAAUAUCUAUGAAUAAAUGUAAGCCAGGAUGUGAAAUACCUAUGCAAUGAAAAUUGUAAGACAUUAUUUUAAAAAAUCACUGGUGACACAAAGAAAUUGAAUGAUAUUCUAUAAACAUGGAUUGGAAGAAUAAACAAAGUUUAAAUGUCCAUACUACUUAAAGUAAUCUAAGGAUUCAUCACAAUCUCAAUGACAUUCUUCAUGGAAAUAGAACAAAGAAUCCUAAAAUUCAUAGGGGACAACAAAGGACUCUGAAUAGCUAAAGUAAUCUUGAGAAUAAAGAACAAAUGUAGAGGCAUCACAAUCUCUGACUAGUAUACUAGAAAACUAUAGUAAUCAAAACAGCAUGGUACUGGUACAAAAGCAUACACAUGGAUCACUGCAACAGAACUGAAAGGCCAGAAAUAAAACCACACAUCUACAGACAGCUAAUCUUUGACAAAGGAGCUAAGAAAAUACAAUGGAUAAAGGAAAGUGUCUUCAAUAAAUAGUGUUGGGAAAACUGGACAGCCACAUGCAAAGGAAUGAACGUAGACCGUUAUCUCUCACCAUACACAGAAAUUAACUCAAAAUGCAUUAAAAAUUUGAAAGUGAGAUGUGAAACUAUAAAUCUCAGAAGAAAAUACAGGUAGUACGCACUUUGACAUCAGUUUUAGAAGUAUCUUUUUGAAUACCAUGUCUACUCAGGCAAGGAAACAAAAGUAAAAAUAAACAAAUGGGACUUCAUCAGACUAAAGUACUUCUGCAAGGCAUAAGAAACCAGAAACAAAACAAAAAGACAACCUACCAACUAGGAGGAGAUAUUUGCAAAUCAUAUAUUGACAAGAAGUUAAUAUAUAUAUAUAUAAUAUAUGGAUAUAUAAUAUAUAUAAUGUAUAAGUUUAUAUAUACAUAAAAUAUAUGAGGAACUCAUACAACUCAACAAUAACAAAACAAACAACCCAAUAAAAGAAUGGGCAGAGGAUAUGAACAGACAUUUUUCCAAGGAAGAUAUACAGAUAGCAAGGCCACAUGGAAAGUUAUUCAAUAUCAGCAAUUACUAAAGAAAUGCAAAUCAAAACUACCAUGAGAUAUCACCUUACACCUGUUAGAUUGGCUGUAAUUACCAAGACAAAAAAUGUCAAAUGUUGGAGAGGAUAUGGAGAAAAGCAACCUUCAUACACUGCUGGUGGGAAUGCAAACUGGUGCAGCCACUAUGGAAAACAGUAUGGAGAUUUUGCAAAAAAUUAAAACUUGAAAUACCUUAUGACCCAGUUAUCCCAUUACUUGGUAUUUAUCCAAAGAACUGGAAAUCAAUAAUCCAAAGAGACUUAUGCACCCCUGUGUUCAUUGAAGCAUUAUUCACAAUAGCCAAGAUGUGGAAGCAACCCAGGUUCCCAUCAACUGAUGAAUGAAUAAAAAAGAUAUGGGGUACAUACAUAUAUACAAUGGAAUACUACUCAGCCAUAAAAAUAAGACAAAAUCAUCCCAUUUGUAACUACAUGGAUGGACUUUGAGGGUUAAGUGAAUUAAUCCAGACAGAAAGACAAACACCAUAUGACUUCACUCAUAUGUGGAAGGUAAUCAAACACAUGGACAAAGAUAACAGAUUAGCAGUUACCAGAGGGGAAAGGGUUUGCUGAUUGGCCAAUGGGGUAAAGGAGCACAUAUAUAUGGUGAUAGACAAAUAAUAAUGUACAACUGAAAUAUCACAAUGUUAUAAACUAUUAUGAUCUCAACAAAAUAGUAAAAAAACACUGCAAUUGAAAACACAUUGCAAUGGCUCAAAUUAAAAAGACUAACAAUACCAGUGUUUUCAGGGUUUUGAAGAACUGGAACUCUCAAUUCUGAACUGAAAAUUGCCAAUAGGGUGUAAGUUGGCAUAAAAAACUUGGAAAAAAUUUUUGUAAUAUCUAGUACAGCUCGACAUUCUUAUAAUUUAUGAACCAAUAAUUCCACUGUGGUCUACUUACCAAGCAGAAACAUCAGCUCAUUCCAUGAAAUGACAAUUAUGGAAAUGUUUACAGCAGUUUAAUUCACAGUAGACCCGAACUGAAAACAAUCCAAAUGCUCAUCACAAGCAGAAUUAAUAAAUACAUGCAGUCUAUCAAUAGAAUGAAAUAUAAUAUAGAAUAGGAAUGUAUAAGGAACAAAUACAAAAAUAUGGAAGAGCUGGAGUAAUUAAAUCUCUAUGACUGCAUUUACCUGUGACAAUUUAUCCCUUUAAAAGAAGAAAACAUUGCUGAUAGAGUAAUUGACAGAAUCUUAGCAAUUAUGUUCCUUUUUUUCAUCCUAACAGUAAGUGAGGAGAAAAGUAAACAGUUUUACAAAAGUUAUUCUGAAACUCAAAAUUUACAUGUAAAAUACCAAACACAUGAUAAAUAUAAAUCAAUUCAAAUGCCUUCCUGGCAUAAUGAAAAAUAAUUCUGAAACAAAUUAAACUCACCUCCUUAGUAGAGAGUCCUCAUCCAUGAGGCGUGUAGAUGGUACUUUCUGACAAUUUGACUACAAAUGUUUGCUUACAUCAGUGUUGAGUGUACUUCUUUCUGCUCCUGGCCUCAUGUCAUUUUUAUUUAGAAGUCCUAUGAGACCACUUAAAGUUUCCUACAGCUACAAAAUAUCUUUCCCAGCGCAAUGACACUUUCAAUGGCAAAUCACCUUUGGCAAAGGAACACAGAUUUAAGUAUUUCUUAAAGAGUAAAUGGGGCAAUUAAUUUAUUUACCUCCUAGGUUUUGCUAAAAGCAAAAGAACCCUGAAUGGGAAGGUGAAGAGAUGUGUCACUGUUAAGGAUAACAGCAAUGCACACACUUAUUGGAGGUAAUAUCUGGAAUUCCACUUCUUGAACUGUACAAAUGUGACUUAAUUGCCUGAAAUAGACAGAUUAUCGUUUUUUCUUAGUGUAAUAAUAAUAAUAAUAGAUUUUAUUUAUUAAGCAUUUCUACAUGCUAGCAAGUAUGCUCAGCAUUCUAAAUAAACUUACAUGCAUUAUAUUUAAUCUUCAAAACAGCCCAUCCAUCUACCAAUUUUUAUGAUCUACAAGAAUGUAAACAAUGUUUUUGUUUUAAAGGAACAUUUUUAUCCUGUGGUAGCACAGUGUAAGAAUGUACAUCUAAAUCACCUUAGAUUUAAGGUUCUCAAACUUUAGGGAACAUCUGAAUCACUCAAAGGGCUUGCUAAUUACACUUUGAAAAACACUUCUUUAAAUGAAUCAUCUGAAGGUGAACUUUUACUGCAUCAAGAACUGGGUAUCAAUGCUUUGAUAGCCUAUAAACUCUUGAAGUCUCAAUUUUGUUUGUGUAUAUUUUAAUCCUGUUUGUAUUCCUCACCCAUUUUGUGAUCUUGUAUCACAAUUAUAAAUAAGCUUCAUGUUCCUCUUCUAUCAUAUGUGAGUAAUAACAUUAUUCACUUUGUAGCAUUACUGGAAGGAUUAAGUGAAAUAUUUGUAAAGUAUCUGGAAGAGUAUCUGGCCCAUUGUAAAUGCUGUAUAAAUGCUCACUGUUAUUGUAGGGGAAUAAGACAAUUCCUCUACCCUCUAGGUCCUUCUGGCUGGUCUGAGAUUUAAAGUGACAUGAGACAGAAUGACAGGAGAAACUCAAAACUUUAUAAUGUGUAUGCACGGAAGAAACCCAGGAAAAUUGAGUGGCUCAAGCAGAAUGGCUGAAGCUGUCAACUUAAAUAUCAUCUUCAGCUAAAGACAAAGGAAGAAAUUGGGGAUAGUGUUUUGGGGCUUCAAAGGGGAGGAAGACAAUUCACUUGGAAAUGGAAAAGCAAGCACUCAGUAGAUAAAACUUUGAUAAGGAUGGGUUUAGCAAGGACCCUCACGGUCUAUGGAUACUGAGAAUUAUCUAUAGUGAUGGCUUGUCCUGCGAACAGGUCUUCUAACUUAAAUUCUUUUAGGCACUUAAGGGAAUUGUUAAACAUUCUUUCAGAGUCUUUAGCUUAAAAAUUAAGCCAGUUAGACACAUUUUGAGGUGGACAAUUUUGAUCCCCGACAUUAUCAUCAUCUUGAUUGUUUUUAAUGAAAGAAAAAAAUGUCUACCUCAGAGUCUAUGCUGAUUCUGGCCUAAGUGUAAAGAAGAAUUACCUAAAACAGAAAAUACAGCAAAGGAAGAGCACUCUUUCCUUUCAGUGUUAUACUGGAGCAUUGUUUAACAGGCCCGCUCAAAGGUUAUUUGGCUUUGAGGUGAAUGCAUCUGUGUUUCACUUACUAUUUACUAGUAAUCAGGGUCCAUAAUCUGUGAAGUUGCAUGUUAACACGUAUAUUUGUGCCCAGUAAUGAAUCAAGAAAUCAAGUAAUUUUACUGUAACUGAAAACAAAAGCCCAAGCAAUCAGUAUUAUUUUUCUCCUGACACCAAAUGUGUGGUUUCUUUUCAGGCUUCCAGCUGGACAGGGAAUAAAACAAUUUUGAAAUGCACCAGAGCAUUCUGUUCUUCUUAACAAGCUUGCCCUCGGGGCAAACUAUUAACCAGAACCUAACCAGGUGUGGUAUUAUCAGAGGCUCCCUUACCUUGAAAAUUGAAAUACCCAGCUCGAGACAGCACAACUCCAGCCCAAAUACUUUUCAUAAAGCAACAAAUUGCAAAAGUCAAAAUAAAAAUCAAUAGCGUGUAUUUCAGUGUGUCUUUCUCAGAGGUUUAUAAAAGGUACUGAUCAAAUCAAAUGCUUUUUGAACCAUUUCUGACACCUGUUUGCUUGCUCAUGGAUGAUUUAAAUAAACAUUUGAUACAUGUUCAUUCAUCCCAUAUUUAUGUGACAGUCACAUAUUUAACUUUUGAGAAAUUAUACUUUUGCAGAACAUUCAUCUAAUCAUGUCUCAAAUAGGCUCAUUGAUUUAUACAUUAAUAUAACCCUAUUUAUAUAAAUUAGGAUAAACCUAUUGAAAUUAUAUGAACCUUUAUGAAAAUUUGGACUCAAAGAAAUAGAGAAAUAAAAUAAUGCGUGAACACUAUUUUCUCUUCUAAAUUUCAGUACUCAUUAAAAUACCAGGACACAAGUGGUCCAUGGCUGAGCAAAGGGAAAGGUGAGCUUGUCUCCCUUCUAAACAUGGAACACAGAGACAGCGCCAGCUGUGUCUGUUGAGCACUUGCCCUUGGAAACACUUCUCAUGGGAGGAAUGGUUGGAAUCGUGCUUCCCCUGAAUUUAAACCUAGAUUAAACAGAAGAACGAAGAAAACUACCCAAGAGGCUCUUUUCUCAUAUUUCCAAGACACGUAUACUAAAGACUGACUUUUAAACUAAACUGGUCACAUUUUAUCAUUAUGAACUAUCAUAUUUAUUUAAUUUUAAGGCAAAACUUUGGUUUAUUUUAUCAGGCAGGUAAAGUGUUGAGAGCCACCAUGUGAUAGUCACUGCAAGAGGCCACAGAGAAAGAAUGAUUCCUCAGGUACCAGCCCCUCCCUGAAUGAGGCACCAACUGUCCUGAUUUGCCUAGUCCUCAGGGUCUUCUGUUUUAAAAUCAGGAAAAUUCCCAUCAAAAAGGAACAAGGUUGAAAAUUGGGUGAGAGAGGCAGACAUGAACAAACGAUGGGAUAGGCAACCAUUUCACUGAUGUUCCCAUAUCAGCACCCUGGUAAAGGUCAUAAUAGGUUAGGAUAAUGAUUGCCAGGCAUCCUUCACUCACGGCCAUGGUCUAUGCCAAGGGAUGUGCAUUUAUAUUUGAACUUAAUUCUCACAAAAAGUAACAUCAACAUUAAAUGUGCCCAGAGUCUAGACCCCUGCCCCCCCAACCGUGGAUAACUCUGAUGCCCCCAGCUAGAAACACUGCUGUAGUCUCUUUCCAGUGCUGUUUUGAUGCCUUCCUAACUAGUCUCCUACAGGCAGUCCUCCUGACAACUCUCUACUCACCUAGAGCAUCUCAUGUGUACCUAAAAUCGUAGUA